CCUUGCCCGGCCGCUGCUCCAUCCCGGCUGCCAUCCGCGUCGUCCCGGCCGUCGGUUGCACCGUCCUCCCCGCGCCACCGCUCCGUCCCUGGUGGAUCCUCCCCUGUCCCUCUCUCCUUCAUCUACGGCGGGCCCCUCCAUCCUCGGCGCCUCCUCCCCCAUCCUCGACUCCUCGCAUCGAUCGACUUCCCCCUUCCUUUCCCUGCAGCGCAAAUCGACUUCGAUUCCUCAUGGAUUACCUCGAUCAGAUUUGCAGAAAUUCAAUCAGCCAUGACAAAUUGUUCCUCAAUGCGACUUUAGGUCCCAGCUGCUCGCCACCUCAGAACUAGAGGCCCGGUGUCCACAGGCGUUUUCAGGUCUUUUGCAGCUGCGUGGCACCCCGUCGAGGACAAGCUCCAGGUUCUGCCCUGUUUACAUUUAUGUAUGCUUCUUUUCUUUCUAUCAUUAUCGGUACAGCUGACUAUGCAUGAUUUAUGUUGGAUUGAGAGAUGUAGCUCUGCAAGCUCAUUCCGGAAUAUUCAAAAUGAGAUUGAAACAAGAAGAUGGAGGCUUCUGACCACUGUUGGCACAACAAUAUCGCUAUCACCUAUAGAAUUGUUGUGCUGGCCAUAAAAAUGUCUCCAAAUAAAAACUUAGUUGAAGUAGACAUGAGUCCAUGACGACCACCGGCUCCUUUACAUGGGUAAGGCAACACAAUUCCAAAUAAUUUGAUUGAGCUUUCUUUUCAAGUUAAUAGUUUCACAGGCUAGAUGAUCUCUAUGGAUUUAAUCCCAUGGUACAUUUGUUGUUUCAUAAACAUAGUACAAAGCUUUCUUCUGCUAUGUUAGUUCUGACAACAUCGAAUGGGUAAGCAAUUACUGAAUGCAACUGUUACAAUUAGUACACAAAGCUAGCAAGUCGAAUUGCUGGGCACUACACUGAAUUUCGCUAUCUGAAAUACUUCUUUUACAAAAGUAUACCUGUUUAGGGAAAAAUAAAGAAACAUAGGAUACAUGCUCUGUUUAUGUUGAUGUUUGCAGAGUUAUUUUGGUUUCUUAAUUUUUCCCUAAACAUUUCAUUGUUUUACACCAUAGCUUUUCAUUAUAACAUAUAUGUGAGUCCUGAAUACAUGGUUAGAAAACAAUGAUAUCCUUAUGCUUACAAUGUUGUUUUCUUAACUUAUGAUGUGCAUAUCUGGUCAUUUUCUUUGUGCUUAUCCCAAUGCUUACAAUUUAUAAAUGUUCCUCUGAAACUGCCUUUUCCUAAAGUAUAUUGAUGCAUAAUUAUGAGACAAAACUAGCCUGGUUGAGUGUUUAUUUUGACUUUUGAAGAUCCUUUGGCCCUGAUGAAAUACAAGAAUGGGAGGAGCUUUAGAUGCCACUGGGGCAUGUCCAUUUGAAUGAAGGUCCUGAUGUGGUGGUUUGGGCUUUGGAAAAAUUGGGGAAAUACACUCGCCGUCACCGUUAGCUAGAGCAAGAAGAUGACCCUGCAGCCUUAGAUCUUCAAAUCAAUGGAUUAUAUUAAAUGAUGACGAUACCCUUUCACUUAGGCUUGGUGUACCAUCGACCAUGGAAUGAUUUCCUCUCAGUCCACAAACCUGGGGACCGAGGUCACAAUACAGUUCCUCUAUUGCCCCAAUCUUGAGUGCAGUUUCACUGGAUGGCAAGGAGCGCAGAGCAACAACAUCUGGGCAACAGUGGGCCGCGUAGCCAAUUACUUUUGGAUAUGAUGUACAUCAAUCAAGCUUGUGUAAAUCUAUUUACUUCCUGCUUGUUGCAGUUUUCAUGGUGACUGCAGUAUUUUGAGCACAGAAAUUAUUGUCGUCUGUAGAACAAAAACAUGUUCGAUUACUUCUAUUUGGAAUACUGGUGAGAUGUUUUGGCCUUGGCAGGUGUGUAUGGAUUGAUUUUUGUUCGUUA
Molecule: long non-coding RNA, 1898 nt
Organism: Panicum virgatum (switchgrass)
Lineage: Eukaryota; Viridiplantae; Streptophyta; Magnoliopsida; Poales; Poaceae
Exons: 2
Source: RefSeq, a predicted model, not a curated record